CUGAUUUUUAAGGGGACUGGGGAAAAUAUGGUAAGAGAACGACAACUGUGCCAAGCAGAUCUGUGGAAGGAGUAAUGGAAUAGCAUCAAUGGAAGGAAGAGUGAAUGUUACACACAGAGGAAAUCACUGUGUCUGGAGUUGUGCCUCUGAUUGGUCUUCUCAGCGUGUAGCUGCAGGAGAUCUCAUUGACACAAUCCACAUGAACUUCCAAGUCUUUUGACUUCAACAAAGGUUCCUUUAGGAAACUAGGCAGCCGUAGGUUAAGAAGGAAGGUCUUGUAAAAGGUUAAAUAGUUGUGUAAAAGUUAGGUAACAGAGCAUAGAAAUACCCCAUUCUCCCAGUGGAGAGAGGUUACUACUAAAGGUGAAGAAUGCUUUUUGCUGGGACCUGCGCAAUUCAGUACAUGAACGGACGAACUCAUUUAUGAAUAUGAAUGUGAAUUUAUAUGAAUCUAUAAAUUCAUUUAUGAAUAAUGCUCUGUAAAAGUAGGUGAACGUAGACUACUGAAAAAAAUUGUACUGAUGAUGCUACACUUUUCAGGGUGAGAGCUGAUUGUGAAGAACUACAGAAAGACAUUGCAUUGGCUGAGGGACAAUAAAUGGAGAAAAACAGAAACUUCAUCAAAAGUGAUGCAUGCUGGAAAUAGACAGUCCUGAUUUGGUGCAUGAAAUUGGUGCAUCAAGCUGGCCAUUAGCACUCAGGAGUGGGGACAUGGGGUUAUGCUGAAGGCUGGUGUGGACCCCUGGGAAGGACCCCUGGUGGAAGGUGAUGGAAUUAAAAUCUGUGGAGCUUACUGCCUUUGUGGAAGCACCUCUGGCUCAGAAAGUCCCUGAGCUGCAAACUGGCAGAGGCUGGAGAAGUAUCAAGGUCAUUACCCUUUCUGCGGACCGGCUUUUUCAGACAGCAGAAUUUCCUGCAAGUCCUGAGUCUUUUGUCACCAUUUCAGUGAUGAUGGAAUUUACAAGACCAGUUCACUCCGCGUUUUUUUCAAGGUACAGAUGUCAGCCAUGUGCCAUCUGGACUAAGUGCUAAAUAAGCGGUAUUACAAAAAAGAAGAAAGAAAACUUUGACAGCAAAGGUAAGCAGCCUGUGCUUAUCAGUC
This 1102-nucleotide long non-coding RNA is filed under the name Numida meleagris (helmeted guineafowl). RNAcentral describes it as "lncRNA (ENSNMEG00000000086.1)". Lineage: Eukaryota; Metazoa; Chordata; Aves; Galliformes; Numididae. The record is from RNAcentral.